RNAcentral lists this small RNA (874 nucleotides) under Arabidopsis thaliana (thale cress). RNAcentral describes it as "ATSL224100". The record is from RNAcentral. Lineage: Eukaryota; Viridiplantae; Streptophyta; Magnoliopsida; Brassicales; Brassicaceae.
AAAAAACAGAACUAAGAACCAAAUUAUUUUCGUGUAGAAGUCAUCCAAGAGAAUAUUGUAAGUUAUAGUGUCAGCAAUUUCUCCUUGAUGGUGCACUAUAGAAAAAAGCUUCAUAACUUUGUUGAUCUUUUCACCUUUCAGAUAUCGUAGAAUGAGUAUGUUGAAAGUUUGAGUUAGGACGACAUGGCAAUAGUAUAGAAUGUCUUGGCUGCUGUAUCCAAGUUGUUACAAUUGUAACACUAACUUUCAAUGAGGCUAAACAACUUUCCUUCUAAUCAUUUCGCAAAACAUAUCUUCAUUUUAGUCCUCUUUUGGCAUAACCAUUGAGGAUACCACCGUAAAUGAUAACAUCAAGAGCAACACCUAUUCUCAGCAUUUUACGCAUCAUCUCCUCACUCUCACGUAAUCUGGUGCUCUACAUAGGCCUCUGAUAAGCGAAUUGAACGUAUAUAUAUAUCUGGUUGUAUCUUUUUGCUAUGCAUUUCAUUGAACAAUUUAAAUGCCUUAGGUAGCUUAAUUUGUUUGCUCAAAGUUUCAAUGACCAUGUUAUACCUUUUUGCAUCAAUCGUAAUACCUCUUCUUCUAUCUGUUUCGAGAUCCAAUGCAACUGCCGCAUCCAUAGAGUCACAAGCACCUUUCACAAUAGGUCCAUAUGUUGCCACAUUUGACUGAAAUCCCAGUUUCAUCAUCUUUCUCAUAACAAUUUUUUUUAAACUCUUAUAAAAAAAUAUUUGUAUAAAUCACUUUAAAACUCUUGUAAAGUCUUUAAAAACAAUUGUAAAUCUUUUAAACUCCUGUAAAAAUCAUUAUAGAAUGUUUUAAAAGGAUAUACAAGAGUUUUUACAAAGAUUUCUAAAACCCUUAUAAAUCCUUU